UUGGUAUCAGAGUUGAUGGUCACAUAGGACUUUAAAAGUUUCCAACAACAAUUUGAGAUGUUUAUGAAGAAAGACUAGGAGGAUCAUGUUCCCUUAGAGAAGAGACGUUGUGGGUUCGCCACUCAGGUCGAAACGAUAAAAAGCUGGCUGACUUCAACAGCGAUACAUAGCGGUGAAGUACAAUGCUAUAGUCAUAAGGUUAGAUUUUCGUAUAUAUGAUGGCUCAACUAAUCCGCUGUGUUGCAUUAAUCAGUGCAAGUACUUCUUUUGACACUAGUGCUUGAAUCAUAAGGUUAGACUUUCUUAGAUAUGAUGGCUCAACUGAUCUAUUGGGAUGGAUUAACUAGUGCGAGCACUUCUUACAACACCAAAGGAUAGCUAAAGAAGACAAGAUGGGUUUAGCCUCUUUUUACCUUGAAGAUGAUGCCCAACUAUGAUUCCAAAGUUGGAGCAAGAUCCACUAGAGUUCUAUUGGAAGAAUUUAAAUCCCAUAAAGACCUUAGAUUUGGUCCUCUUAUAUGCCGAAACACAAUGGAAAAGAUGUUGAGAUUUGCAAUAAUGGCCUACAAAAAUAUAUCACUUCUCAAGUCAAGCUACAACAACCACUUGACGUCACUAUUGUUAUGAUUUUGACAAGACUCUAUGAGAGGAGCGAUCCAAGGAAACC
RNAcentral lists this long non-coding RNA (667 nucleotides) under Carica papaya (papaya). Its description in RNAcentral is "long non-coding RNA (CPAP_LNC009099)". The record is from RNAcentral. Lineage: Eukaryota; Viridiplantae; Streptophyta; Magnoliopsida; Brassicales; Caricaceae.